RNAcentral lists this long non-coding RNA (4025 nucleotides) under Solanum tuberosum (potato). Its description in RNAcentral is "long non-coding RNA (STUB_LNC002437)". The record is from RNAcentral. Lineage: Eukaryota; Viridiplantae; Streptophyta; Magnoliopsida; Solanales; Solanaceae.
UAAUAUAAUUUCUUUGUUCUCAUAUGUUAUUAGAGAAUGUUGAUACAUCAAUUUAGAUUUCGAGCACCAAUUUCGUUACUUAUAUAAGCCAUCUCUUCUUAUAUUUGAUUUGCUGAUAUUGUAGAUAUAUAGAUGAAAGAACACACACAUCUAGGUGUUGUAAGCUGGAGUUUUGUUGAUUUGAUCUAACUAACAGAAAAAAGGGGAUCCUAUCGGAGCAGCCAUGGUACUGCAAAAUUGGUAAGGAUCGUUGCUAUUACUGCUACUUCGGGAGGAGUCAUAUGUUCUCAGUUUAUUUAGUAGUGCAAAAAUUGAUAAGUUACUUGAGCUAUUAUUAUAUUGUCGCAAUUGGAUUACGUUUAUCGUUUUGUUCCAUUUGAAUUUCAUAUUUGCCCUUGACCAGGAACUAUCGAGGCAUUAUUUUGUUAGUAGAACUACUAAUAAAGAACCAUUUUACUUAAUAGAAAAUAUUUUGUUGCCAUUGGAACUUGACCGAGUUGGAAACCAGUUUUAACAAAUUAGUAAUAUGCUUUCUAUCUUACUGCGGUGAGUUGUUAUAUCGUUGGACAUUAACAAUUUUGAAAUUUAGAUUUUAAAGACGGUGAAACUGACGAACACACGCUUCUGCUCAAGUAUAAGUAUCUGUUAGUUCUCUGUCAUUGUUGUUUUAGAACUUUUUCUACUUUAUGUGUGAUAUUUUAAAACUGAUUCAGCCUAUACUUCAAAAUUUUAUGUACUUUGGUCUCAAUAUUGCAUCUUACAAAUUUCUACUGUAGUUUAGAGCAAUGCUUGUAGAAUUUAUAGAUUUUUUUCUACAAUAUAGUCAUUCAUGUAAAUAAAUAAUUUGGAAUGUGGUGAUUUCUCCUGCAGUAUCAUCAUUCAUGUAAAUGCUUUGUACUUCUUGCUUUGGUGAUUCCUCCCUGUUCCUUCAAAAAGAGAACAAAAAGCGGAAUGACAUGAGAGAUUUUGAAAGUCUCUUUAUAUGGCAAAAUUCUAAGCUCUACUACAGCUUGGAUGGAUACCUCCAUUCGAGAAUAGAUCAUAGUGUAAGUAUGUUACUUUCAAGUCCAUUUUUUACCGUUAAUACAAAAUUUCUUGCCUGCAAUAGAAACCACUGUGAGGAUAUCUAUACGUAGUUUCAAAUCCGUGUCACAGAUAAAUUUAACAUUGCUUGUAAUUCGAUCCGUGAGAUAUUGGGUUGUUGCUAACCUACCCAAAUCCAAGUUAUUGUGUACAUUAUAGACAAAUAAAAGGUAACUGAUUAUUCCACUAUUCAAUAAUCUAUAUCCAAGUUAUUAGGAUUUGUUGCUAACCUACCCAAAUCCUAAUAAUCUAUAUCCUCCUGAAAGAAAAGAGUAAGAAAUAAAGACACAAGAAAAUGCAUAUAGCUAAAUUCUUUAUAUCUUGCCAAGAUAUUAGUUUAUGGUGUCUUAAAACUCAGUAUCUAAACAAUAUCAUACAAAGCAAAAUACAAAUAAAUAGGUACAAAUGCACAUACACAGUAAACAACAGAACAUCAACAAAGAGUAGAAAAUUAAUCUCAUAAACUGGAAAUGAAAGACAAAAGACAAUACCAUGUUAUUGACCUAAAAAGUAUUACUUGUAAUUGGCUUAGAGCUUUUAGGCAAUGUUGCUUCAAUACUUGACAUGCAUAUCAAAUGAUCUUUGAAAUUAUGCAACAUAUCUCCAUUUGGUGGACAUCCAAGUUGACAAAGUGAAUAUGAAUCUACACUUCAAAAAGUUAUUUCUCACUCUUUGAUGAACAUAGGAAAAUUAGUACACCACAAAAUGCCAUAAAUUCAUAAAUCUGUGUCAAAUUGCAAUAGAAAAAGCAACCUAAUAGAUGAUUACAACAACCUGAGAUAUUGUUAAACUCAAAUAUCUUCCAAAAUGUACUAGACUAUACUAGAGCUUCUGGAAUAUGCUUCUUUUAAGUUUUUUCCUUAACAUGUAAGAUACUUCAUUUGCAAUCUAAACAUUAGUAGAACAUGUUAACCAAAUAGAGAAUCCUCACAGUCAUAGGUCUCCUUAGCAAAUAAUCCUAAUGUCUCAUUUUGGCCUUUAGUUUUGUUAUACCUGAUGAAAUAUUUACUGAAAUAUACAGGUCGGGUUCUUUGUUCUCUCUUAUUUAUGAUUGUCGAGUCAUCAUUAUGCAUUGUUUUAUUAACUUGCUCUAUCUUAGGAUAAUUUUCAGUUAUUACUUCAGGCUUCUUUAUUAUGUUUAUGAAUCUUUCUUUGUUUUUGUGUUUGUUCUUGAUAAAUUAAGUUUAUUGGGAUUUCUGGAGAGAAUUACACUCUUAUUAUGCUCAUGAUAGCUCUUUUGUUAUUAUGUUCCUUAAUUGUCUUGCUGGAAGUUUGCCACGAUAACAAUCCUUUGAGUUUUAUACCCUGACCGCCUGAUGCCAUCUCAAUUAUUUUUGAAAGAGAAUUAACCUAUAUUAAGAAGUCUAGAACAUGUGGUUUGAAUCAAAGGCACAUAAGAAAAGUCACAUUACCAAUACAAGAGUUAUCUUAUUAGUUGAGUUAUUGAUACCUUUAUUUAUUAAGAAUAUAGAUAUUUUUGAUGAAUGGAAAGCUUUUAGAAGAAAAGCAACUCUUCAGUCAAGAUUAUUACCAAAAGAACAAGGAGGAGUGCAUCCACAAAUUCAUGAUACAAGAUCGUUGUGGAAGUUCACAACUUUGCUGUUCUGUAUGUCUGUAAUGACAUGGAUGAACAUGAUUAUCCCUUUGUGUGCGAGUCUCUGCAACUCACAAGAAAAUUAUGAUCAAUCCUUGAUCUAUAUGCAAGAACUACUUUAGUCAAUUUUGUUAAUUAAACCUUUCACGAAAGAUAAUUCAAUUUCUUACUUGCUGAUUUUUCCUUCUGGUUCAUUUGGAUUUUUAAGUGUCGAAUGAAAACAUAUCUCUAUUUGAUAGAGGCAAUCAAGAUGUGGGACUAUACUGGAUAUGUUAUUGUUGACAGAGGUGAUCAAGUUGAAAAGUGAACAUAUUGGUAGAGCUUUUUUCUAAAAAUAAUAGAUGUAAGUUUUCCCCCAACAAUUUCAUAACUAUUAUUUUUGUUUGUUCCUUUGCUGUUAGAUUUGUGUGCUGUUUAUCGAAUUACAUAAACUUGAUUGUACUUAUUUUUUUGGAUCAGGUGUUUGUACUUUGUUCAUUAGAAAUUGCAGGUAUCAAUCUCAAGUGUGGUUGCACUUCUAUCCACAUGUAAGUGUUGUCUCAUUUGUUAUCUAGAAAUUUGACUUGCAUAGACAAAUUAUUGGUAUUACCACUUUAUAAUUGAUUCGAUUGUUGCUUAUGAUGUUAAUAUUUACAUGUAUUGCUAUAUUCAUUAAAAUUUAUGUCUGGAAAUAGUGGCAGACAAAGCAUAAGCUUGAUGGGUUCAAUUGUGUCGAUUAUCUUCGACCCGAUACAUGACCCAUAUGUGAUUUAAAGAGAGUAAUGUUUUCCGUUGUAAGAACCUAAAGGAUGAAUCUAUGAAAUUUAAACAUUGAAUCCUCUUCUUGUGAAGGCAAUCUUAACCAAUACUUUUCAGUGUGUAGUAGAGAUUACUCCUUACUAGGUGGUUACCAUUUGAGAAUUUUGGUUGGCCUUUUCCUGAAAUUUUAGUGUCAUAUAUAUGAGAUAUGCUAGAGUGAACCUUCAAAACUUCAUAAUUGAAAUUCAUUGUUUUUCCAAGUGUGAUUCCAUCUAUUCUACAAGUUAGCAGACAAUUACAAAAUGAAAAAGAAGAGGGUUAUCAUCAAAGUAAUUCAUAAUUUUUCUGUUUAUCUUAGAACUGCUGAAAAUUUGAGUAAACAUUCAACUGUUAGUACUAUACCCUCCUUUGGAUUGUUAAUAUAGUAGUUCCGACUACUGAGCUUGAAUUGGGUUGCCUCUCUAAUCGAGAUCGUAGUCCUCAAGCACCACUAAGAGAGGCAACCCAAUACAAGCUCUAUCUAAGAUCCUUAUGAUCGGAUGAAUAAUUUUAUCAGUCAUUGUUUAAGUUAUUUUGUUCCAAUGAAGAUAUUCUUAUAAGUAAACUUUUA